AAGUGUUCAUGUGACUCACACACGAUGUGUGUUUAUGUGUAACAAGUGAAUCAAGUGUUUAAGCUCCUCCUCACUGUCUUUAUAAGCCUCAGUGUUUCUUCUCCUCACACUCCCGCCCUGCUCACCUCUCAGCUGGACUGUAAGGAACUUUUACAGCUCACACUGACAACAUGCUGGGGAUCCUCUGCACUCUGCUCACUGCUCUCACAUAUGUUGAUGCAGCGAUAGUGCUGACUCAGACGCCUGCUGUCCACUCAGUUCCUACAGGACAAGAGGUUGUCCUCAACUGCAACAUUCAGAGAUAUGAUGGAUAUUAUGUGUCAUGGUAUAAACAGGUUCCUGGUGAAGCUCCUCAGUAUGUUCUCAGAUUUCUCCAUGGGAACAAUGCUCCAGACUUUGGAUCAGGAUUCUCUUCAGACCGGUUCAACUCUAAAUCCUCUUCAAGCACAGAAUACCAGUUCAUCAUAAAGCGUUCAGAGACAGGAGACUCUGCUCAGUAUUACUGUCGGACAUGGGAUGGCUCUGCUAGUGAAGCUGUAUCACAGUGGUUCACACUGUGACAAAAACCUCCAUCAGAGACCUACUGAAGAUUUAUUGAUUCUCAGCUAAAUCAGACACAUCAAAUGAGAGAAACUGCUUCAAAACAUUGAAGGACAACAAAUCAAUUCCUGUGAAGAGACAAUUCAGUCUGGAGCAAAUCAAACUGAUGAAGUUAGUGAGAUGUUGACAAUGAAAGUUGGUCUCAACAGGAUCUUUCAGUUCCACUCCGUCAUCAGAGCGAGUCGAGAGGUUUUUGUACAGCCAUGUGUA
Non-coding RNA from Gasterosteus aculeatus aculeatus (three-spined stickleback), 810 nucleotides. The record is from the annotation of a RefSeq genome assembly. NCBI's taxonomy places the organism in Eukaryota, Metazoa, Chordata, Actinopteri, Perciformes, Gasterosteidae.